UAGAGAGAAGCCGGAGCCUGACGCUGCUGAAAAGGCAACGGGCGGCACUUUUUUUUUUAGACCCCCCUCCCUUUCUACCCCUGCUUCAUCUCUUUCUCUCUCUCCCCCCACCCCCGCCGAUCCUGCCUUAUUCAGGGGAGGGAAGGGAGGAAGAAGAGAAGGAAACAGAGAGAGAGAGAGAGAGAGAAAAGGAACCUAAGGGAAAUUCUCUUUGGCCAACACAUGCCUCGAGAGCCGUCCUUGCGAGCGGAAAGGAACAGCCGCGCAGCUGGUUUUUUUAUUUUGAAAAGAGCACAGCGCAAAAUCCCCCAACAAUCAAACACCAAGAUCUUCAUAGUUUGGGCCUUGCUCGAGGAAAAAAAAAAACCCAAAACAAUACAGGAGCUGUGAAGCUUUGCAUUUGAAGUAGCUUCUGAGCU
Non-coding RNA from Zootoca vivipara (common lizard), 419 nucleotides. The record is from RefSeq and is a predicted model, not a curated record. Lineage: Eukaryota; Metazoa; Chordata; Lepidosauria; Squamata; Lacertidae.